This 810-nucleotide ribosomal RNA is filed under the name Mycobacterium sp. FL04-60-11A. Its description in RNAcentral is "bacterial SSU rRNA". It matches the Rfam family "Bacterial small subunit ribosomal RNA", at positions 162 to 984 of the family's 1533-position model. Lineage: Bacteria; Bacillati; Actinomycetota; Actinomycetes; Mycobacteriales; Mycobacteriaceae. The record is from RNAcentral.
UCUAAUACUGAAUAUGACCACGAGGCGCAUGUCUUGUGGUGGAAAGCUUUUGCGGUGUGGGAUGGGCCCGCGGCCUAUCAGCUUGUUGGUGGGGUGACGGCCUACCAAGGCGACGACGGGUAGCCGGCCUGAGAGGGUGUCCGGCCACACUGGGACUGAGAUACGGCCCAGACUCCUACGGGAGGCAGCAGUGGGGAAUAUUGCACAAUGGGCGCAAGCCUGAUGCAGCGACGCCGCGUGGGGGAUGACGGCCUUCGGGUUGUAAACCUCUUUCAGCAGGGACGAAGCGCAAGUGACGGUACCUGCAGAAGAAGCACCGGCCAACUACGUGCCAGCAGCCGCGGUAAUACGUAGGGUGCGAGCGUUGUCCGGAAUUACUGGGCGUAAAGAGCUCGUAGGUGGUUUGUCGCGUUGUUCGUGAAAACCGGGGGCUUAACCCUCGGCGUGCGGGCGAUACGGGCAGACUGGAGUACUGCAGGGGAGACUGGAAUUCCUGGUGUAGCGGUGGAAUGCGCAGAUAUCAGGAGGAACACCGGUGGCGAAGGCGGGUCUCUGGGCAGUAACUGACGCUGAGGAGCGAAAGCGUGGGGAGCGAACAGGAUUAGAUACCCUGGUAGUCCACGCCGUAAACGGUGGGUACUAGGUGUGGGUUUCCUUCCUUGGAAUCCGUGCCGUAGCUAACGCAUUAAGUACCCCGCCUGGGGAGUACGGCCGCAAGGCUAAAACUCAAAGGAAUUGACGGGGGCCCGCACAAGCGGCGGAGCAUGUGGAUUAAUUCGAUGCAACGCGAAGAACCUUACCUGGGUUUGA